UCAAUGGGAAUAACUUCCCGAAAUAGUGACAAAAAAUACCGAUGUAUUAGACUACGUCUAGUACAAUUGGAAUGGAAACAAUCCAAAACCCUUAUUGAGUAACAAUUAGAGGGCAAGUCUGGUGCCAGCAGCCGCGGUAAUUCCAGCUCUAAUAGCGUAUAUUAAUACUGUUGCAGUUAAAACGCUCGUAGUUGAACUUAGGAUUAUUACAAGGUAUUUUACUUGAUUGUAAAAUUCUUGCUUAGUCCUUAUCUACUAGAUACUCUAUUCUGUACUUAAUUGUAUGGAAUAUCACCUAGCCAGUGGAACUUUUGGUUAAAUGGUGCCUUUAUUAAUACCAGAGUGUUAAAAACUUGAAGUGUUAACAAGGGAUCACACUAUUUUGAUUGAAGUGGGGUUCUAGUUAAUUACUUUGAGUAAAUUAGAGUGUUCAAAGCAGCCUCUUGGGGGCUUUUGAAUAGAUUUAGCAUGGGAUAAUAGAAUAGGACUUGAUAACCUAUUGUUGGUUUGAGUUAAUCCAAAAUAAUUAGGAUUAAAUA
This 539-nucleotide ribosomal RNA is filed under the name uncultured eukaryote. RNAcentral's name for it is "bacterial SSU rRNA". It matches the Rfam family "Eukaryotic small subunit ribosomal RNA", at positions 445 to 875 of the family's 1831-position model. The record is from RNAcentral.